This 497-nucleotide ribosomal RNA is filed under the name uncultured bacterium. RNAcentral's name for it is "partial 16S ribosomal RNA". It matches the Rfam family "Bacterial small subunit ribosomal RNA", at positions 28 to 507 of the family's 1533-position model. The record is from RNAcentral.
GAUGAACGCUGGCGGCGUGCCUAACACAUGCAAGUCGAGCGAACAAACGGGGAUCUCGCCCGUCUGCCGCUGCCGGCGGACGGGUGAUUCCCACGAGGCUACCCGACCUAUAGGACUGAGGUCCCGACGGGCAAGCUGAUCCCAUAUAGGAUCAGAUGGUGAACCGGAUGGAUCAUCAGACCUCGCGCGUCCUGCUGUGCCUACUACAUGGUACCGGGCCGCAUUAGCUAGUUGGUACGGUAACGGCGUACCAAGGCUACGAUGCGUAGCUGACCUGAGAGGAUGAUCGGCCACACUGGAACUGAGACACGGUCCAGACUCCUACGGGAGGCAGCAGUAGGGAAUCUUCCGCAAUGGGCGAAAGCCUGACGGAGCAAUGCCGCGUGUGUGAUGAAGGUCUUCGGAUCGUAAAGCUCUGUUAGUAGGGAGGAACAACUGUGAGAUAAACUAUGGCCGUCUUGACGGUACCUACAGAAUAAGCCACGGCUAACUACGUG